AGUACUGUGGCUGUUUGCUUGGAUCCAAAAGAGAAGGAAGAAAAUAUUUUUCAACAAAUUUAUGUAUGUUUCAAUUCUAUGAAGCAAGGGUUUAAAGCUGGGUGUAGGAAAGUGAUUGGGCUAGAUGGUUGUUUCUUCAAGGGAGCCUGCCAAGGUGAGCUACUGGCUGCAAUAGCUAGGGAUGCAAACAACCAAAUGUAUCCAGUAGCUUGGGCUGUUGUGAAGAAGGAGACAAAUGAGAGUUGGGCCUAGUUCAUUGGUCUUUUAAUCAAAGACUUGGACAUUAAUGAUCAAGGAGCUGGAUGGGUCUUUAUUUCUGAUAAGCAAAAGGGCUUAAUUAACAGUAUGAGAGACUAUCUUCCUAGGGCAGAGCAUAGGAUGUGUGCUAGUCACAUCUAUGCUAUUUGGAGAAAGAAGCAUAAAGAUCAUCAAUUGCAAAAAAGGUUUUGGGUAAUUGCUAAGUCUACAAACAGAGAAGAUUUCAACUACAACAAGGCCAAGCUUGAUCAACUAAUUCCAGAAGGUGCAAAAGAUAUCAUGAAGACAAACCCAAAGCAUUGGGCUAGGGCUUUCUUUCCAAUAGGAGCAAAUUGUGAGUUAGUUGACAACAACCUUUGUGAAUCAUUUAACAAUGCCAUCAUAGAAGCUAGGUUCUACCCCAUUAUUUCACAGCAAGAAAAGUUAGGAAAAAAUGAUGGUUAG
This 702-nucleotide ribosomal RNA is filed under the name Triticum aestivum (bread wheat). Its description in RNAcentral is "partial small subunit ribosomal RNA". Lineage: Eukaryota; Viridiplantae; Streptophyta; Magnoliopsida; Poales; Poaceae. The record is from RNAcentral.